Long non-coding RNA from Mastomys coucha (southern multimammate mouse), 505 nucleotides. RefSeq lists it as uncharacterized. NCBI's taxonomy places the organism in Eukaryota, Metazoa, Chordata, Mammalia, Rodentia, Muridae. The record is from RefSeq and is a predicted model, not a curated record. The transcript has 3 exons.
UAUUCAUUUUACAAUCGCAUUGUCAACUUCAAAAACAAGCUCAACAAAGUGCUGCUGAGAUCUGUUUCAAUAAUGGAAUGGCCUUAAUCGGGGUCUCUCAUCAUUAGGAAUGAUGCUUAUGUGUGUUAGUCUGGUGUAAGAUCACUACCAAGAUAUUCCUGAGGUGUUAUUCCAAAGAGGCCAGAUUUUUCACUGGCACAUGUACUGUGGUCAGGUGUAAGGCAAAAUCACAUUGCCUCCUGAUGCCAAGUUCCCUUUCUUCCUAAAUAAUGGAAGCCCGCUUUGAUGUGAAGCAACUUUGGAUAUGGCUUCUUAUGGCAACGCAAGUUCUAGCUGGAACAUUAUACAAAAGCGUACAUUUUCCUAGACUUCAUAGAUCUUAGUCCGUUCACAAAGAGGAAUGGAAACACAAGGAAUAAAUUUUUAGGGUUCUGCUCUCAAAUAUUCCCCUAAUUUUUAAGAGGCUGGAGCCAGUCACGGAUACAAGUAAAACACAUUUUUCCCC